Molecule: long non-coding RNA, 799 nt
Organism: Larimichthys crocea (large yellow croaker)
Lineage: Eukaryota; Metazoa; Chordata; Actinopteri; Sciaenidae
Exons: 4
Source: RefSeq, a predicted model, not a curated record
GCUCUCUGUGCGUUGUUCCAUUCUGGAUCCCUCUGGAGGACUGUGGCUCGGACAGACGACCAUCCAUGGGAAACGAAAUGGCUGACAAGGGGUCUGGAGUAAGUAGUGACGAAAGGGAGGAGCUCUCCCGUCUCCGUCGGCCGUGUCUCCAAGAAGGUUUUGAGGGCCUCCCUUCUGAAGGAGCGUGCAUAACCCCUGGCGGCUAACGCUCUGAAGAGUGUUUUUGUGGCCAUCAUGAAAUCGCUCUGGUGGUGGUAUCCAGAAAGUCGACAGACGUGGUGCUGGUGGUGGAUUUCAGCUUGAUGGACGGGUUGUGAUUAUUCAAGGAUGCCAGGGCAGAUGUCUCCCACUCGGCCAUGAAGAUGUUUGCGUAUGCCGGUGCAAAUUUCUUUCCCAUGGCAGUGCCUUUAAUUUGUAGAUAGAAAUGAUUGUCGAAUUCAAAAUCAUUUCUUCUGAGAUUAAUUUCUAGUAACUGUAAAAUUUCUUUGUCUGGCCUAUUCUUGUCUGGAUAUUUAAUAAAAAUGUUUUUUAUAGCUUGAAUGCCUUCGUCUAUGUCAAUAUUAGUAUACAGACUGUCUAUAUCUAAUGUAAACAGAAUGCAAUCUGAGGGGACAUGAAGUUUUUUGACUGUGUCUACAAAGUGAUAGGUGUCUUUAAGGUAUCCAACAUGUUUGUUGGAUAAGGGAUUAAUGUAGUGGUCGAUAAAUUGGGCUGUAUAAUAUGUCUCACUAUCACAAUCCGACACUAUGGGCCUCCCGGGCGGAAUCUCAAAAGGAACACUCCAUUUUGAGGGCUCCUU